CUCAGUGGUCUGCCCGAACGCCUCGUUGGCUUCGCCGUGCGGCAACUGAUCGAUGCGCACGAUCUGGACGGUCAGGUUGUCGGUGCUGCCUUUCAGAUAGGCCUGCUCGACAACCCGUUUCUCAUCGGCGUUGUCGUGAAUGGCUUUCGCGAUGAAGCGGUCGCCGACAUGCUCAUAGGCGCCGUCGGUUGCGAGCAGGAACACAUCGCCCUUUUCGAUCGGCAGCGCCUGAUAGUCGAUUUCGAUUUGCGGAUUGAUUCCCAGCGCG
This 268-nucleotide unclassified non-coding RNA is filed under the name Hevea brasiliensis (rubber tree). Lineage: Eukaryota; Viridiplantae; Streptophyta; Magnoliopsida; Malpighiales; Euphorbiaceae. The record is from RNAcentral.